Non-coding RNA from Leptonychotes weddellii (Weddell seal), 962 nucleotides. Lineage: Eukaryota; Metazoa; Chordata; Mammalia; Carnivora; Phocidae. The record is from RefSeq and is a predicted model, not a curated record.
GGCCGGGGCUGGCGGCGCUGAACAGUCGGGGGCAGUUAUUACGCCGUCUAGUCAUCCCAGCAACCGGUGACGCGGCCUGCAUGAGGCCGACCACUGGCCAGCCGGGGAGAGCGGGCCUGGAGCGGGACUCCCUACCCCGAGGCGCCUCCCAGCUCCCCCCACUCGGCGGCCGCGCGCUCCGCCAGCCCCUUCCUCCCUUCAACGCCCUAGUCCCGAAGUCCGGGAGGCGGGGGUCGGCGAGCCAGCUGAGUGGGAACCGCGUGGCGUACAAGGAGCCAGUCGGCGACCGAUUUCCUCCCAGGCAUAGACCCCUAUGCUUCCAGGGCAAACUCCAGCAUGGGGUGAGGUGCAGAAGAGAGACUUGAGGGGUGUACUCUGGCACUCAGUUACCAAACCUGCCCCCUAGAUCAGGGGUAUAGAACAUCCUGCUCCAAAGGCAUGAGAAGAGAACAUCCUGUAUUGGCCACUCCUGCCCAGUGUGGAGAGGAGCAAAACUCCAGAGCCCACCCCUGAAGGUUUGUGGCUUUCAAGGCUUUUUUUCAAUGGAUCCCAUUUAUGGGGUGUUUUAACCAGAGCUCUGGGUAUUUAUGAUGUUUCCAUCUACCAAUAAGAAAACUACUGCUAACCAUUUCAUUUGCUCCCUCUCCCUGACCUGUUGAGUGACACAGCCUAUAACUCUUAGCAACUAUAUCUAAUCUCCACUGAAUUUAGCUGGGACCAGUCCAGUAGCCUUGAGGAGAGUAGUCAGUGAUGAGGCCCACGGGAGGUUCUAUACAGAAAGGCUGAUCCUGCUCCCAGACCGCUACCUGGACCAACUUGUCAAGAGGAUUCAGGGAUAACAUUUGAGAUAAAGAGGAUAGCAGAUCAGAUCCCAUUCCCAUAAAGGGGCUUCUCUACUACUCUGGGUUCUCAGAUCCCUGGAGAUAGGGCAAUGAGAAAAGUCUGCAGAAUAUUUGCGAAGA